UAUGCUUAUAUCUACUAUAACUGGACCAACCUGGUGCUCUUCAUUUAUGGAGGCUGUUGAGUCUGAAUGUUGGAUGUUGUGUAUCUCGUGUUCUCUGGGCUUUGUUGUCCUCAGUCUUUUUGCAGGAUCAGAAAACAAAACCAGGAUGACCGUAAAUGUUUCUUCUCCAAUUGGAUGAUGAUAAGACCGUGACAUGGUAUGCCACCUUUAGUCUUGUGAUGAAGCAAAGCUCAGGACGAAGUAUGAUUAAAUGGUACCCACAUGUGUGCUGCUGAGAAGGAUGUACAGGGGCACCUGCAGCCAAAUCCAAGCCUCCUCAGCAACUUCAAGUCUGUCAGCGUGCUGAGGUCACAGAAACAAGAAAAGAAGCUUCAGACUUCAGAGUGUUGUUUACAGUUUUCUGUCAUCAUGAUCUCCCCUGAAGUUUAUCACUAUUAGGCAAGCAAGCAGAGCGGCAGUUUGUGCUCACAGAUGGUGACGGUGUGGAGAGACGGUGGUG
This is a long non-coding RNA of Pelmatolapia mariae (spotted tilapia), 499 nucleotides long. RefSeq lists it as uncharacterized. The transcript has 3 exons. The record is from RefSeq and is a predicted model, not a curated record. Lineage: Eukaryota; Metazoa; Chordata; Actinopteri; Cichliformes; Cichlidae.